Molecule: ribosomal RNA, 535 nt
Filed under: Amanita gemmata
Lineage: Eukaryota; Fungi; Basidiomycota; Agaricomycetes; Agaricales; Amanitaceae
Description: eukaryotic LSU rRNA
Rfam family: Eukaryotic large subunit ribosomal RNA
Source: RNAcentral
GGCAGUGUUUUGCUGUCCGAGUUGUAAUCUAGAGAAGUGCUGCCCGUGCUGGACCGUGUACAAGUCUCCUGGAAUGGAGCGUCACAGAGGGUGAGAAUCCCGUCUUUGACAUGGACUGCCAGUGCAUUUGUGGUGUGCUCUCAAAGAGUCGAGUUGUUUGGGAAUGCAGCUCUAAAUGGGUGGUAAACUCCAUCUAAAGCUAAAUAUUGGCGAGAGACCGAUAGCGAACAAGUACCGUGAGGGAAAGAUGAAAAGAACUUUGGAAAGAGAGUUAAACAGUAUGUGAAAUUGUUGAAAGGGAAACGCUUAAAGUCAGUCGUGUCGGCCAGGGAUCAACUCAGUUUUUUCUGCUGGGUGUACUUCCUGAUCUGAUGGGCCAACAUCAGUUUUGACUGCUGGAGAAGGAUAGAGGGAAUGUGGCACCUUUGGGUGUGUUAUAGCUCUCUGUCGGAUGCAGUGGUUGGGACUGAGGAAAGCAGCAUGCCGCAAGGCCGGGUUGUUUCAACUACGUUCAUGCUGAGGAUGUUGGCAUAAU